This 435-nucleotide ribosomal RNA is filed under the name uncultured Lachnospiraceae bacterium. RNAcentral's name for it is "partial 16S ribosomal RNA". It matches the Rfam family "Bacterial small subunit ribosomal RNA", at positions 341 to 792 of the family's 1533-position model. The record is from RNAcentral. Lineage: Bacteria; Bacillati; Bacillota; Clostridia; Lachnospirales; Lachnospiraceae.
ACGGAAGGGCAGCAGUGGGGGAUAUUGCACAAUGGGGGAAACCCUGAUGCAGCGACGCCGCGUGAGUGAAGAAGUAUUUCGGUAUGUAAAGCUCUAUCAGCAGGAAAGAUAAUGACGGUACCUGACUAAGAAGCACCGGCUAAAUACGUGCCAGCAGCCGCGGUAAUACGUAUGGUGCAAGCGUUAUCCGGAUUUACUGGGUGUAAAGGGAGCGUAGACGGCAUGGCAAGCCAGAUGUGAAAGGCUGGGGCCCAACUCCUGGACUGCAUUUGGAACUGUCAAGCUAGAGUAUCGGAGAGGUAAGUGGAAUUCCUAGUGUAGCGGUGAAAUGCGUAGAUAUUAGGAGGAACACCAGUGGCGAAGGCGGCUUGCUGGACGAUAACUGACGUUGAGGCUCGAAAGCGUGGGGAGCAAACAGGAUUAGAUACCCUGGUA